Long non-coding RNA from Canis lupus familiaris (dog), 399 nucleotides. RefSeq lists it as uncharacterized. The record is from RefSeq and is a predicted model, not a curated record. NCBI's taxonomy places the organism in Eukaryota, Metazoa, Chordata, Mammalia, Carnivora, Canidae. The transcript is spliced from 4 exons.
ACUGCAAACAACUGGCAAGUCCAUUAACAGUUAAACAGAUAAAUUGUGGCACAUUCAUACGAUAGAAUUCUGCUGUUCUAGGUUGAAUUGGGACCCCCAAGAAGAUAGAGUGAAGUCUUAACCACCAAUACCUGUGAAUACCAAAGAAGGAUAGACUUACAGAAGAAGGAAUGAAGAAUGAAAACUUCUUUAAAGUUUCAGUUUAUCUUGACGAGAUGGAUGCUUCAGCAGCCACUUCGCAAUGAUGAGAGAAAAGCCAAGAAAACUGCAGUGAUCAGCCUUGACGUUAUUGAAUCUCAGAAAUAACAUCAGAUGCUGUCUAUCUCUGGACUUCUAGAAAUUCACACAGAGAGAGAGGGAGAGGCAGAGACACAGGCAGAGGGAGAAGCAGGCUCCAUG